This is a long non-coding RNA of Panthera uncia (snow leopard), 2694 nucleotides long. RefSeq lists it as uncharacterized. NCBI's taxonomy places the organism in Eukaryota, Metazoa, Chordata, Mammalia, Carnivora, Felidae. The transcript has 3 exons. The record is from RefSeq and is a predicted model, not a curated record.
CUUACCCACAUUUAGAUUCGGGCAGUGCCAAGACGCCUUAAAAAUGCGCAAGCGCCCCACGAAACCAGGAUGGAGGCUACGGGACUCGCCCGGAGACAGAGCGUGAGUGGGGGAAGGGCAGAGAGAGAGGGAGACAGAAUCCGAAGCAGGCUCCAGGCUCUGAACUGACAGCACAGAGCCCGACGCGGGGCUCGAACUCACGGACCGUGAGAUCAUGACCUGAGCCGAAGUCGGACGCCCAACCGACUGAGCCACCCAGGCGCCCCAACAGGUUGUUCGCUGGAUCCUAUUCUGAGGGGAAGUGACCACAAUUCACCGUGCACACGGACGUGUCAAUCAUCAGGCGAUCUAGGAGAGCGUGCAAGCGGGCAAGUUCAAACGCCAGUCUGGCUCUGGGGGAAUCAGACCACUGCCGCUUCUCCAUUUGUGAGGACGGUGCACUAAUGGCCUCUGGCAGGCUGCUCUGUGAAAGCACUGGACAGUGGAUGGAAGACCAGUAUAAAUUUUAAAUUGGUUUGUGCUGGAUAUAAAUAGAAACUGCCUCCGUGUGAAAUAGUUCUUAAUUUUUUUAAAUUCUCCGCUUUUCCAAGAAGUGACUUUUUAAAAAUGGACGCUUGGUGGGUCGGGCCAAGUUGUAAAGCAUGCAGGCCCUGUAGUAGUUGAGGGAGGUCAUUGUGGGCUCCUCUCUCCGAUUCCUUCAAUCUUUCCCUGUCUUCAGAAGGGUUCAUAUAUCACCUGGCCUCGGUGUCACCAGUGGGGAACAGAUGUCUGAGUAAUGAGCGUUUGUUCUGGGCUGAUUUACCCUGGGGAAGGCGUCUCGGGCAUGCAGGCCUCCAGGAAGCCCCGCUUUCCCCACUUUUAUGGUUCUUCUGCUGCCAAAACUACCAACUGAGUAACUUUCUAAGCUGGGGAGGCAUGUCUGUGCCUGUGCAUUUCGCCCAUUCUAAUGUAGUUUCCCCGGUGGGAAAUGGACUAUAAUAGUGUCAUGUGUUUUUUAUUGUGGCUUCUGUCUAUCCUCUCUUUGGCAAAAAGGAAGGCAGAGGAAAAACAUUUUCCCAGUGUUCAAAACAGCUAGUGAUGUCCCCAAGAAAAGCAUCCCCAGUAAAACACUGGAAAACAAAAGAGAGACCUACACACAUUUUAUGAUUUUCAGAACGAUGACACCUGCCAUGCAAUUAUUUGGUAAUUUUCAUGUGGCAGAAUAGGCAUCUCAGCUGCCAUCUCGUAGUCUUUUUGUCAAACAAAGCCCUAUGGGGUGUGUGAGUUUAAGUUUGUCUUUGAAACCUGAAAUCUAGAUUAUAUCGAUAUUAUCGGAAAACAAUGAAACCUGUGUUAAAGCAUUGUAAUUUCACAGGAGGAAGUAAGGGUCUGAAUGGCACAUUUCUCACCCGUAGGAGGGGAAAAGGCAGUUGGGGUUGCAGUUGCUGGGACAGCUUUAUUGCAAUAGAGGAUGAACAUAUUGACAUCAACUCCCUGCUCUGACCUUCUCGUUGUUGAAUGUCGAUAUGGUGUGUGAAGCCGCCUCACUUUCGUCUGCCUGCUUCUCGUUAUGUGCAAGUCAAAAGCACAUCCGCAGAGAUUAUGGAUUUAACUCAAUUUUGACACAUCACAUUUCAUCUCUCUCGUUAAGAAAGGCUGAGGUAUGACUCAUAAUUUAUUUUAAAUCAUUUUAAAUAUACUUAAUUAUGCAUAGAAAAAAAAGUGGAAAUCCAAAAUAAGAUUCAUGCAACUUUACAUUAACAUCAUCUAUUCAAAUUUAGCAUAUAUAACAUAAUGUUGUCUUGUACAGAGAAUGAAAGAAGUGGCCUUCUCCAGUGGGGGUCAGAGGGUGAUUCCUAACUCCUGGAGAUUCUCACUCUGUGCCCUGAAUGCCUGCAGCGUUGCAAUAUUUUACGAGCCUUAGUAACCUUUUUGUAAGUCCAUAUACACACAGACAAAUAAUACAAAGUCCCCAAAAGGCAUAAAAAUUAGAAUUUUCAUAUGUUUCUGUGUACUUAUACCCCAAACUACCAAUUAAUUUAGAAUAUUCUUUUUUUCCUUAAACUUAAUGUUUUUAUUUACUUUUGAGAGAGAGAGACACACAGAGUGCAGGUGAGGAAGGGGCAGAGAGAGAGAGGGAGACACAGAAUCAGAGGCAGGCUCCAGGCUCUGAGCUGUCAGCACAAAGCCUGAUGCAAGGCUCGAACUCACCAACCUUGAGAUCGUGAUCUGAGCCAGAGUCAGAUGCUUAACCGACUGAGCCACCCAGGCACCCCUAUAAUAUUCUUUUAUCAUCCCUUGCAUAGAUGUGAGGAGCCUACUGAGUGACAGUCUCCAAGUAUUAAGCCACAGGAAAGGUCACCUGAGGGUCCUUCUGCCCCUUAGGGUUAAUUAUAGUGGUUCUUCACGGGGCUGUUGGAGAAAUGAAUGAAUGAACAAACGAACGAACAAAAGAACAAACAUCACCUCCACGCAUUGCUGUGAGAAAUGAGUGACCAUCCUGGGUAGUUAUUUACAUGAGCAUUCUGAUGGCCAUGGAAACUGAUGAUCAAGUGAAAAGAGAAAUGAAAAACCUGGGUUUCAAGAAGGUAAAUGUUGAUGGACCAUUUUCUUUUCAGGUAGUAGAACUUUCUGUCUUUAGAAAAACCUACGUAACUUUAACCAGUAUCAAAACAUGGGUGCUCCGUAGCCAAUAAAAGUUAACAUGUCCAGGUG